GACGAACGCUGGCGGCGUGCUUAACACAUGCAAGUCGAACGGAAAGGCCUCUUUCGGGGGGUACUCGCGUGGCGAACGGGUGAGUAACACGUGAGUAACCUGCCCUUUACUUUGGGGUAACUCCUGGAGACUGGGGCUCUUAUCGGAUAUGAGCUCCUGCUGCACGGUGGGGGUUGGAGAGUUUCGGCGGUUGUGGAUGGAGUCGCGGCGUAUAAGCUUGUGGGGGGGGUAGUGGGUUACCCAGGCGUUGACGGGGAUCCGGACAGUGAGGGUGAACGGCCACAUUGGGGCUGAGAUACGGCCCAGACGCCUACGGGAGGCAGAAGGGGGGAAGAUUGCACAAGGGGUGGAAGCCUGAUGCAGCAACGCCGUGGGCGGGAUGACGGCCUUCGUGGUGUAAAACGCUUUCGCGCAUGACGAAGCGUUGUGUGACGGUAGUGGGUAAAGAAGCACCGGCUAACUACGUG
Molecule: ribosomal RNA, 467 nt
Filed under: uncultured bacterium
Lineage: Bacteria
Description: partial 16S ribosomal RNA
Rfam family: Bacterial small subunit ribosomal RNA
Source: RNAcentral